ACUCAAAGGAAUAGACGGGGGCCCGCACAAGCGGUGGAACAUGUGGUUCAAUUCGACGCAACGCGAAGAACCUUACCUGGGCUUGAACCGCACAGGACCCUCCCUGGAAACAGGGACUUCCCGCAAGGGACCUGUGUAGAGGUGCUGCAUGGCUGUCGUCAGCUCGUGCCGUGAGGUGUUGGGUUAAGUCCCGCAACGAGCGCAACCCUUACUCAUAGUUGCUACCCGCAAGGGAGAACUCUAUGAGGACUGCUCCGGAUAACGGAGAGGAAGGUGGGGAUGAGGUCAAGUCAGCAUGGCCUUUAUGUCCAGGGCUACACACGUGUUACAAUGCGCGCCACAAAGUGUCGCGAACCCGCGAGGGGGAGCUAAUCGCAAAAAAGCGCGCUCAGUUCGGAUUGCAGUCUGCAACUCGACUGCAUGAAGCCGGAAUCGCUAGUAAUGGCGUAUCAGAUCGACGCCGUGAAUACGUUCCCGGGCCUUGUACACACCGCCCGU
This 498-nucleotide ribosomal RNA is filed under the name uncultured bacterium. Its description in RNAcentral is "bacterial SSU rRNA". It matches the Rfam family "Bacterial small subunit ribosomal RNA", at positions 899 to 1397 of the family's 1533-position model. The record is from RNAcentral.